AAAACGACUCUCGGCAACGGAUAUCUCGGCUCUCGCAUCGAUGAAGAACGUAGCGAAAUGCGAUACUUGGUGUGAAUUGCAGAAUCCCGUGAACCAUCGAGUCUUUGAACGCAAGUUGCGCCCGAGGCCUUCGGGCCGAGGGCACGCCUGCCUGGGCGUCACGC
RNAcentral lists this ribosomal RNA (164 nucleotides) under Dyschoriste quadrangularis. Its description in RNAcentral is "5.8S ribosomal RNA". It matches the Rfam family "5.8S ribosomal RNA". From Rfam's summary of the family: 5.8S ribosomal RNA (5.8S rRNA) is a component of the large subunit of the eukaryotic ribosome. Lineage: Eukaryota; Viridiplantae; Streptophyta; Magnoliopsida; Lamiales; Acanthaceae. The record is from RNAcentral.